RNAcentral lists this ribosomal RNA (393 nucleotides) under uncultured bacterium. Its description in RNAcentral is "partial 16S ribosomal RNA". It matches the Rfam family "Bacterial small subunit ribosomal RNA", at positions 338 to 729 of the family's 1533-position model. The record is from RNAcentral.
CCUACGGGCGGCAGCAGUGAGGAAUAUUGGUCAAUGGCCUAAGGCCUGAACCAGCCAAGUCGCGUGAGGGAAGAAGGUUCUAUGGUUUGUAAACCUCUUUUGUCGGGGAGUAAAGAUGUCACGUGUGGGCGAUGUGCGUGUACCCGAUGAAUAAGCAUCGGCUAACUCCGUGCCAGCAGCCGCGGUAAUACGGAGGAUGCGAGCGUUAUCCGGAUUUAUUGGGUUUAAAGGGUGCGUAGGUGGUACUUUAAGUCAGCGGUAAAAUUGAGGGGCUAAACCCAUAUGUGCCGUUGAAACUGGGAGACUUGAGUGGGCGUGAGGUAGGCGGAAUGCGUGGUGUAGCGGUGAAAUGCAUAGAUAUCACGCAGAACUCCGAUUGCGAAGGCAGCAUAC